Heterocephalus glaber (naked mole-rat) is the source of this 3118-nucleotide non-coding RNA. The record is from RefSeq and is a predicted model, not a curated record. Lineage: Eukaryota; Metazoa; Chordata; Mammalia; Rodentia; Bathyergidae.
AAAAAAAGAGCACUUGGUGCACAUCUGCCCUUUUAGAAGGCCAAUCACAGGAUGGGAAGCCCCUGAGGGUGCAGGAAGUGACUCUUCAUUAGCCCCACCCUUAGGUGUCUGAUAUUAAUAAUUGACUACCCUCCUGUCUAAUUACAGUGGCCUACAGCUUGCACAAUUGGUUAUUUAUUUGGUAGUGUCCCCAGGGCUCUCCCUCUGGUCCAUCCAACUUGAAUUUAUUGAGCACCUACUAUAUCUGGAGGGCUGGGUCGGCCCUGGAGUAGGUACCAAAGGCUGGAGUCCUCUUUAUAGGGAUUGGAGGGUCACAGAAAAGCUGUCUACAGGCCUGGACAUUUCAGUAAAACAAAGCCCUGGCAAUGUCUGCACAGCAGGAGGCUGGGUCCUUGGCCUCAGCACCCCUCGCCCGCUGCGGCCCUUGUGCCUGUAGUGUCACCCACAUGGACGCUGCAGACUAAAGUUCAGCUGUUCAGCUUUAACUCAGAGGGCAGGUUAAAUGUUCAGUGGAGGCCCAGCCUCAGCCCGCCUAGAUGAAAGGGCACACACCACUUAUCACUUAUCUUGGUUCAGGAAAGGGACCAUCAAGCCACCAAGUGCAAGGUGGGAGCAGUUACGCUGAACCACCUUGCUAGGGUGGGCCACAGAACCGGGAUGGGCAUUCCCUUUUCUUUGCUGUCAUGCCAUUCAUCAGUUAGGAUCAACUUUCCUGAAGCCUACAAAAUUAACUUCAUUCUCACGGCAACCUGGAUGGGCAGGAACUAUUAGGCCCAUUUUAUAGCUGAGGACACACGACAAAAAGAAGUCGAACCAGUGUGAAGACAGUAAAAGCGGGGUGGGGGGGGCAAGCAAAGCUGUGAUCUCUUCCUUAAUUGCAGUUUUCUCACUUCAUUGUGAGCUCCCUGCCCAGGCCCAUUUGGAGUUGGGGAGCUAGGGGAGGCCUGAGCUCGGGACCUGCCUCAAGAACCAGAAGAAUGGCCACUUGCUUGUUAACGAACAGAGCCGUGGCUCUGCCUCCUCCACUCCUCCCCACCGUCCCUCUGCUCUGGCUCGGAGAGCCGGGGGCUGGGCCUCCAUAAUUGCAGAGCAGCCGGCACAGGGCGGGGAAGAGUCUGACGUUUCCAAAGGCCUUUCUGAUGUUGAUUAUGGCGAUGACGAGGAUGUCCUUCUCCUACCAAGACUAGAGGUUUUCUUUGUCCUCUCUCCACUGGGGUCUCAUCUCUGCCCUGAGGUCUGGUGAGGAGAGAACGGGCAUGGGCUCCACUUCCGGAGAGGAAGGGAACAGACUUGGCCAGAGUGAAAGGCGGAGUCAGCCUACCCUUUACCUUCUCAGCGCUGGGCACAGGGGUAGGCUGAUGUAAUCAUUAGCAUAACAUUUGCAUAAGGAACAAUUGAGGAGAUUGGAGUCGGCCUCCAGGAAACACCUGCAAGGAACAGUGAAUGAAAGCCUCUCCACCCCCACCGAGAUCCUUCCGCCCCCACCCCAGGAGCCAGCGGAAGUGGCGGGAACCCAGCGCGACUAUUGAUGAUGGCGACCAGUUGUAAGCGGAGUGCCUACUAAGUGCCUGCCGAGCACCGAUGUGGAUGUUCUGUUUCUCUUGCUCUUCACACACAACAACCCUAGGGCUGGGAGGCAGGCAGCUUCGGAGAGAUAUAUUUUCAUCCAAAUGAGGCCAAAGGAGAGACCUGUGAAUAUCCGUCUUCAUGCAAGGAAGAUAAAUGAGAUUGAAGUUGCAGGGCCAAUGUGACUUGUCCAAAGCUUCACAACUGGUAAAUAUCAGCCAGAACUUGAACCCAGGCCAGUUCUGACUUCCAGUCCAGUACUCUUGAGAAAUUGGAGAAAGAAGAAGACAUGGCAUCCUUAAGCCAAGCCUCAGAAACAAACCGGUUUCUGCCAGUCCACCCCCUUCCCCUUGACUACAUUGUGCAGCUGGCAUGGUGCAGAGAUGCAUCUGAAGCUGUGAUCCCCAAGACAAACCCAACCGGGAGAGCUGCAGCCUGGACAGUCUAACCCUACAGGUCUGGGCAGCAGGAGGAAGGGAGCUGGUGUGCUUCAGGGAGCCUGGAGGGAGAAGGAAGAGACUUGUGAAGAAUGCAAACAAGAAGCUGAGCUGGAAAUGGCUGAUUUUGUUAGUGCUGCUCUACAUUUACUCAAGCUUGAGAGUGAAUGCCACCAUGGUCGCAGCCACAGUAUAGCCAGAUUCCGAAGCUCGGCCGUCUCACCAGCUUGAGACUGCACCUUGGAGCCUGGCAGCUGCCUUGGAGUGAGGGGCAGCUAGAUCCUACUCCCCCAGGCAGGAGCUCAGCCCCUCAAAUGAGGCUGGUCCAACCUGCUCUGCAUCUUCUUCUGUUUGACCCCUGGUACAAGCAUGCCUGCUGAAUCUACACCUGGACCUACAGACCUGUAGGGUCUUGUCUGGGCCUGGAUGUUCCCACGAGGCCAUGCAUCAGUCACACACAGAGUUUUACUGCCCAAGGGGACUUUUGAGAUCUCAACAUUAUCCACUCCAAUUCUCAUUUCAUUCACAAGGGAAUGGAGGCCUAGGUGGGGGAGGGGUGGGAAUCACACAGACUAAGUGAUAAAUCCUGACCAAAGUCCCCCUAAUCUUUCCCCUGCUGUCUGCUGUGCUUUGCAGCCCUCACACUGCAUGUAGCUGUGACCCCCAUCAACCCCAUCAGCGCUUAGUGGCACACCCUAACAUUGCACUCACCAUCCGUGGCAGGUACUAUUGUGACUCCCAUUUUAUACAUGCAGAGGCUGAGGCUAGGAGAGAUUAAAAAACUUUACCUAAGCUAGUAAGUGGUGGAGGUGGAAUUUGAUUUUAUUUUUUUCUUUUCUUUUCUCUUUUUGCAGUGCUGGGCAUGGAACCCAGGGCUUCAUGCAUGCUAGGCAAGGCCUUUACCACUAAGUUACACCCUGGAGCUGGAACUUGAACCCAGACUAUCUGGCUCCAUCAUUGACUGUUUGCUAUGCUACCUGUCUUGUCCGGAAGCUUCCUCUGCACCUUCCCUUUCCCCUUUUCAUAAUCACUGUUACCAUCACCACCACCUUCACAACUCAUCAUUCCCUCAUUUCUCCAUUCAGUCACAUCCAGAUGCUGCUCCAGACACGAGG